Orcinus orca (killer whale) is the source of this 2192-nucleotide long non-coding RNA. RefSeq lists it as uncharacterized. The transcript is spliced from 2 exons. The record is from RefSeq and is a predicted model, not a curated record. Lineage: Eukaryota; Metazoa; Chordata; Mammalia; Artiodactyla; Delphinidae.
CUGGCAGCAUCACCAUCACCCGGGAACUUGUUAAAAAUACAGAACUAACCAAAAUCUGUACUUGAACAGAUUUUGUGUAUGUAGCAUUAAAGUUCAAAAAGCACUGACCUACACUGCCCCUUCCAAACCUUGAGUUUCUAAUUCUGGAACUCCAUUUCCCAAACUGUUUUGUAUGUUAAACAGAGGUAACACCCAAGAAAAACAGUAUUUUCCGUUCAAAUCUGGGGAACUCUCGAUACUAUACUUCCAGUAGGAAAUUCGUGAUAAAAAUAUCAGUAGCAUACUGAAAGUUCCAAAAUAUUCUGUAGUAGAGAAAACUUUAACCAUGAAGUUUCUGAACAUAUUUGAGCACAAACUGUCUUUGAAAAAAAAGUUAUCCUUAACUACUAUCGCUAACAUCCCCGGGCCUUGGGCUUCGCCCAUACAUUAGCUAAAGAACUUCAAUCUCCACCUCAUAGCUCCUUGACUCUCAGUACAUUAAGCAUACUGGAUUAGUAAGUGGUCAAGACGGGCUUGCUGCUCUCCACACUGUAAUAAGUGAGAGUAAGUUUCUAAAUCACCGCCUCUUUUUUUUUUUUUUCUUUUUUUCACCGCCUCUUAAAAAAUACCGGAGUUCUUCACCUGUGUGAUUUAGCUGUCGGGAUGCGCUAAGAUGACUGCUCAAGGGUGAGCCUGCCAGUUAAGGCGGACGCCAGGAAUUGGAGACUGACACACCAAACGCAUAUCCAGGCCCCCCACCUUGAGUCCGCUUUGUUUUUUGUUUGUUUGCCUGUUUUUCUGUUUGACACAACUUCUCAACCGUGUGCCCCACAGGAAACCUGUAGCUUGGAGUGGGUUCAGGGGUGCCUUGGAUGCUCCCAGGAAAGGAGGGGAACCCUUGCAGUUCCGGAGGAAUUCGGAGACGCAAUCACUCGACCCCGGGAGCACACCACACCGGCAGGCUGAAGAGCUCAGCACUCUUCAUUUCCGAAAGAAGGUCACAGCUGAUAACUUCAGGGACACCAGAUCCGGUUGCUCAGCUGCCUGAUGCUAGCUUUGGCCAUAAAUUUGCAGAAGAAAAGAAAUGCAAGACCUUAAUUAUUUUGAGCCUUAUCACCUAUCCCAGACCACGAGCCCCAAGCUAUAAAAACCUUUCCCAGUGGCGGGGCGGGGGCACAGUUCUUGAGACUCUAGCCUGCUGUGUUCCCCCUUUUGCCUAGCAAAGAAUAAAGCUACUUUUUCUCCUUCAAAACUCCGUCUCCGUAUUUCUUUUCGGCAUUGGUGCACAGAAAGCCAAGAUUUUGGCAUCACAGCCAGGCAACCCAGCUUCGUGAAGAUUCGCGGCAUGCUGUGGCCCGCAGGCACCCAGCACGCGCCUGCCCCGCUGCCAUGGUGUCUGUCCAAGAGGAAGGUCAGCUCUGCCGAGUGGCGGAGAAGGAGGAGCCCAAGAGGAGACCAGCGAUGCUGUUGGCUAAAACAGCUUCUGCAAAAGUGGAAAUGAAGCCAAAAAGGUGGAAGGAAAGGAUAAAUCUUCAGGCAAAAAUGUGCAAACAAAGGGGAAAAGGGAGCAAAGGGAAAACAGGCUGAAGUGGCUCACCAAGAGACUAAAGAAGACUUACCUGCAGAAAACGGAGAAAAUAAAAAUGAGGAGAGGCCAGCCUCUGAUGAAGCAGGAAAGAAAGAAGCCAAGUCUGAUUAAUAUCAAACACCCGGUCCUAUCAGUGGUCCCUGUCUCCCUUCUUGUACAAUCCAGAGGAAUAUUUUUACCAACUAUUGUGUAAAUGCAAGUUUUUUAGUAGCUCUAAAAACAUUUUUAAAAAGGAGGGAAUCCCACUUCAUCUCAUUUUUUAAGUGUGUGACAGGGAAGAGCUAAAUCGGACUCCACGUUGGAUCUGUUUCUUUGACUUUAACCUUUGAUUUUCGUUGCUUUUGUUAUUAUAAUCAUGCAUAAUGACCUGCCUCAGGAAACCCUGCCCACCUGUGAAUGGCUGCAAGAAAAAAGAAAUUAACAUAUCACCUCACUGAGGCUGGUCAUUCCAGGAGAUGUUUUACAAGACUAAUGGCCCUUUUACUUUACUUCCUCACUGCCUCUCCCUCUCUGAUUCUAUAAAAGAAACUGGCAUCCAGACCCAGAUAAGAUGGUUUAUCGGAGACUAGUCUGCCAUCUUCCCGGUCUGCCGGCUUUCCGAAUAAAGUCGUAUUCCUUACCUCAA